This 276-nucleotide unclassified non-coding RNA is filed under the name fungal sp. RNAcentral describes it as "partial internal transcribed spacer region". The stretch from base 1 to 46 matches the Rfam family "Eukaryotic small subunit ribosomal RNA", at positions 1786 to 1831 of the family's 1831-position model. Lineage: Eukaryota; Fungi. The record is from RNAcentral.
AAGUCGUAACAAGGUAACCGUAGGUGAACCUGCGGUUGGAUCAUUAGAGGAAAAAUUGUUUGCGGGCCUGGUUUUUUACCGGGUUACCCGCAGGCAGCUUACCCCAACCCCAUGUGAACAUGCAGACUGUCUUUUUUCCUUGCCAAUUUCUUGUUGGCGGGGAUGUAAAUACGCUAUUUUUAUAUGCAAACACGUGUCUCCCAGGGCCCAUUUUAUUGAUGGAUCCGCAACAUUAUAAGAAAAAAACAACUUUUGACAACGGAUCUCUUGGCUCUC